Molecule: ribosomal RNA, 429 nt
Filed under: Chloroflexota bacterium
Lineage: Bacteria; Bacillati; Chloroflexota
Description: Chloroflexi bacterium partial 16S ribosomal RNA
Rfam family: Bacterial small subunit ribosomal RNA
Source: RNAcentral
UGGGGAAUAUUGCACAAUGGGCGCAAGCCUGAUGCAGCCAUGCCGCGUGUGUGAAGAAGGCCUUCGGGUUGUAAAGCACUUUCAGCGGGGAGGAAGGCGAUAAGGUUAAUAACCUUGUCGAUUGACGUUACCCGCAGAAGAAGCACCGGCUAACUCCGUGCCAGCAGCCGCGUUAAUACGGAGGGUGCAAGCGUUAAUCGGAAUUACUGGGCGUAAAGCGCACGCAGGCGGUCUGUCAAGUCGGGUGUGAAAUCCCCGGGCUCAACCUGGGAACUGCAUUCGAAACUGGCAGGCUAGAGUCUUGUAGAGGGGGGUAGAAUUCCAGGUGUAGCGGUGAAAUGCGUAGAGAUCUGGGGGAAUACCGGUGGCGAAGUCGGCCCCCUGGACAAAGACUUACGAUCAGGUGCGAAAGCGUGGGAAGCAAACAGG